RNAcentral lists this unclassified non-coding RNA (275 nucleotides) under uncultured fungus. RNAcentral's name for it is "sequence contains ITS1". The record is from RNAcentral. Lineage: Eukaryota; Fungi.
GUAAAGGUUUAUAGGCACAAAGGCCUAUCAAUUACAUUCUAUAAACAUACAUUAGGGUAUAUGAAGAAACAUAGACCUAAAAAUAUAAGAAGAGACAAUAAGUCAAUUCUCAAUCCUAAAUGCUAAACAAGCAUUCAGAGAGAUACUCAGGUCUACAAAAGGUGCACAGGAGAAAAUAUAAAGAUGACAAGUGUGCACAUUGCUCCCUAGAGAACCAGCAGCAACUUAUCAGGUUUAUUUCAAUAAUGAUCCUUCCGCAGGUUCACCUACGGAAA